AUUGAACGCUGGCGGAAUGCUUUACACAUGCAAGUCGAACGGCAGCACGGGAGCAAUCCUGGUGGCGAGUGGCGAACGGGUGAAUAAAGUAUCGGAACGUGCCCAGUCGUGGGGGAUAACGUAGCGAAAGUUACGCUAAUACCGCAUACGAUCUAUGGAUGAAAGCGGGGGAUCGCAAGACCUCGCGCGAUUGGAGCGGCCGAUAUCAGAUUAGGUAGUUGGUGGGGUAAAGGCGCACCAAGCCGACGAUCUGUAGCUGGUCUGAGAGGACGACCAGCCACACUGGGACUGAGACACGGCCCAGACUCCUACGGGAGGCAGCAGUGGGGAAUUUUGGACAAUGGGCGAAAGCCUGAUCCAGCCAUGCCGCGUGCAGGAUGAAGGCCUUCGGGUUGUAAACUGCUUUUGUACGGAACGAAAAGGUUUGGCCUAAUAAGCUGAGCUCAUGACGGUACCGUAAGAAUAAGCACCGGCUAACUACGUGCCAGCAGCCGCCGUAA
Molecule: ribosomal RNA, 500 nt
Filed under: uncultured bacterium
Lineage: Bacteria
Description: partial 16S ribosomal RNA
Rfam family: Bacterial small subunit ribosomal RNA
Source: RNAcentral